This 4576-nucleotide long non-coding RNA is filed under the name Sus scrofa (pig). RNAcentral describes it as "lncRNA (ENSSSCG00015017893.1)". Lineage: Eukaryota; Metazoa; Chordata; Mammalia; Artiodactyla; Suidae. The record is from RNAcentral.
UGCCUGCAUCAAAGGCAUAUGGAAGUUUCCGGGCCAGGGAUUGAAUCCCAGCUGCAGCUGUAACCUACUCCUCAGGCAUAAACACAGGAUCUUUUGACCCACUGAUCCAGGCUGGGGAUUGAACCCAUGCCUCUGCUGCGACCCACGCUGCUGCAGUCAGAUUCUUAACCCACUGCACCAUGGUGGGAAGUCCUUCAUUUUCUGUUUUUACUCUAGCUUUUAUACUGAUCACCAGAGAUUAAAAUAUAGAGUAUCACCAAGGAGAAAGAGAUCACACAAAGCUGGGCAUCUCCUCCACACAUCCAGGGAUCUUGACUGAAAGGGUUACUGCAUAAUCUUGCUAGUCUGGGGAACCUUACCCCCGGCAGGUUAAGAUGGCUUGUAGGUCCCAGGGCUGUUUUCAGAGUGGAGCCAAAGCUCAUCUUUAGGAUAUUUAUAGAGGCGACUAGAAAUCUCCAGUGCUGAUAAAGGCAAAGCAUUUGCACGCAGGGCUCACUCCCUUUUGCCAAAUCCUCUCUAUUUGUAGGAGUCGCUCCCUUGCUGAGGGUUAACUGCUCAGGAGGCUUUUGAUCUGUAUGUGCAAAAGCAACCAAAGUCCAUCCAGCAGGCAGCUCAGUUGCUUGCUCGCUCCUCUUCUCCUCUGUUUCGAGAUGACUUCCAAAUAGCCUUGUUCUGAUGGGUGUCAGAGAGUAACUGUUCUAAAAUUAAAGGGCAAGGAAGUCUUAAAAAAAAAAAAUCUGUUUUAAAACUUGGGCCCUGUAACUGAACCUUUCCCUCAGUGAGGUAGGCUUCUAAGGAGAGCUGGUUUUACAGCUGCAAGAUAAAUGAAAGGCCUGGAGGAUGUGAGAGCACUUCCUGAGGCUAUGGCUGGUGACUUGACAAGUCAUUUAUUCCAGGGCACAGCCUGGCCUCCCGCCAGGCCCUCCAGUGGAAGGCCAGCCCAAGAGAAACCCGAGCGAGGUGGCUGACCCCCAGCGUGGGUCCUCUGCUUCCCAGCGAGGGCCUUCCAGCAUCUGGUGGAUGUGCACAAUUAGUAAUGCUUUUGAGGAUAAUGAUUUGGUCUCAUGGAAAAAGGAGAAUUGGUCCAAGAUAAUGUCUGGUAAACUUUGACAUUCCACCCUGAAGUGAUCGUACACUCAUGUAGAAUCACUAAACAGCUGCACGAUCAUAUUACAGAACCUCCUUCAAGAGCCAACUUGUCAUUGAAUCCAUCCCCAAAUCCCAGAUUUUCUCAAACAAAAGGAGCCCUGAUGUGGAAGGAGCUGCAAUCAGCCAGAUGGAAGAGAGGGGUAGGUUGCCAAGACUGGAAGCGAAGCACCCUUUGAGAUGUUUUGGCCUGAUCCCUCUCAUUUUGUACAUAAAAAAAACAGAGGUCCAGAGAAGAGGAGAGAAUUUCCCAAGGUCGUUCAGCGGAAGAACUCGGAUAAGGGCACGCACAAUAGACUCCCCAGGCCGAAGUGACCAUUCACCUCUUAGGGUUGCACGGGCCUCCCUGACCCCAUUCCUUAGAGAACCUCUGAGGGUGAGAGUCUAGGCCAGAGGGGCAGUGAUGAAAUCUCUGUAGUGAAAAGAAACAAAGCUGUAUGGAGAGAAACUGCCAAAGGAGAAAUCUUGCUGUUGUAGAGGGGAUGGACGAGGAAGCGGUGGCAAAGUCCAGGUUUUCUUAAGCCUUGAACACAAAGGUAAAUGAGAUGAAGUGCCUUAUCUAGGUCUGGGGCCCUGCUAAGAAUGCCACCACUGAGGUUUGUGCAGAGGAUCCAACCGAAAAGAGCCAAUAAUCUUAGUCAUUCAAUAGCAAGUCUUAAGCACCUGCUUUGUGUGGGACAUGGUACCAGGUGGUACAGGAGUGAAGAAGGUGAGGUGUGGUAGAGAGUUUACGUUCCAAGAGCCAAGGUCAUGCCCAUUAAUGACAAUGUUUUUUCAGGUACACACACACACACACACACACACACACACACGAGUGAGCAUUAAGGCAUGGAGUAUUUCAUAUUGCUCAAUUUUUUCUCUUCCUUCUGAGCUCACAUCCUGUCUUUUUGCCCAUUUUUAAUAUAACUUUCUCAAUUCUUAACAAGAGCCUGUCCAUAAAAUAUUGGCAACCCAAGCAGGGUUCUCUGGAGUGUUUUGAAACUGCAUUGGUUGAUGAAAUCCAAAAGCCUGGCAACCAUGGUUGUGGUUGAAAGGCCAUGGGCUCUAGGGACAGACAGACCUGGAUUGAAAUCAGACUUCAGCUAUUUAUUCCCUAUGGGACCUUGGGAAAUCUUAACAUUCAGAGUUCGAGUUUCCUAUGUAUGAUACAUAAAGUCCCCAGGACAGUGGGGACUCCAGGUGGAAGUACUCACAAAUAUUAUUGCCUUUAUCUUAGAAUUAUUUUGCGUGUGUUUGUAUAUGCACGUAUGCUCACCUGCAUUGUACCAGGUGCUAUACAGAACAUAGGAGACCUUAAAUAGCCUUUUCUCUCAGAGAGUUAAAACUCUUGCUGGUAAGACAGCUUACCUCACCAGAAGUCAGAGGAGAGACAGGAAAUCUAGCAUAUCUUUAUCCUUCUCCUGAACAGUUUCUUUGGUUUGGUAACAGUGACAGAAUUUUCAGAUAUUGCUUUCCACAGCUCACAGUAUAUUGUUUUUCCAUGGCUGGUUUCAGUUUAUACUGAGGCUCCCUCAAAACUCAUAAAAUUCCCUUUAAAACCUCAUAAAAUUUCACCUGUGGAUGUUUAUUGCCCACAGGAUUUGGGCUAUGUCCGUUUGGUUUUGAUAGAUUUACCAUUAUUAAACUCGGGUCCCCAUUCCCCCAGCCUUAUGAAGAUAGCUGCCCCCUGAUUUAGCACAGGGGGACUCUCCCCUUUGUCCCACAGUGAAGAAAUACUUCGGCUCCCUAGAAUUAAGCUUGGAUCAUGGGCAAUGAUUCUUAUUCCCAGCUUCCUGAGGGCCAGGAAUUUGCUCCAGCUUUGGGCAAUGACAUUUCUCCACGAAGGUCACCAAGGUCUCCUCACCCUCUUCAUGCUCUUCCCAGAUGCCAUUCCCAGGAAUUCAUCCAUGAGUGUCUGCUCAUGUACACAGAGAAUGGCAUUUGAGAGAUGAUCAGGAUGUUACAGAUGUUCCUGCUGAAAUAAAGGUCAAUUCUAAAGUACAUAACAAUAAUCCAAAGUAGUUCUUCCAGUGACCCCAGAUUCAUUUCCCUGGGACAUUCAACAUUGGUUCCAGUCCUACGUGACACUCCUAUAAACACUAGCAGAAAGAUAUCACAUCUCUCCUUUAACUUCUUUUCCAGGCCAAAUGCCACAACUUCGUUGCAUCUAACUUUAAGGACCUGGUUUCCAGAUUCCUAGCCAACCUGAUGGGUCUCCUUUGGGGUUUCCAUUUGGGUGUGCAUCUAACUUACACUGAAGUCAGGAAGUAUCUUUAGGAGUAGAUCUCAGAGUCUUGGUUACUCAAGAUCCUUCUUCCCAGGAGAAAGAAUGGACCUGGCUGUGGGGAGGAGCUUCCAGGCUAGGCAACAAAUGCUCAAGGUUUAUGGUAAAUUGAAACCCUGGCCAAGUAAAGUUCAACUCUGGAAAGUCCAAACAGGCAAAUAGAGUCCCAGACCAGAGAAUCCAGAACAAUCUGGGAGUCUAGGUCACAGAACCAGAAUCAAAGAAAAAGCCCAGAAAUACUAACUGGGGUAAUGGAAGAAGGAUGGGGUCACUGCAACUGGAAGUCACUUAAUUUCCCAAGCACCAUGUCCAGGGAAACUUGGUCCUGGGUAUGACUGACACGUGGGAGGCUCGGGGAGGAAGCUGGAGGAGUUGAGUCAAGAAUCGUUAUUUAAUUCUUCAACAGAAGGUAGGGCCAAAGCUAUUGACCUAUCCCUUGUCUGUAUUACGAGGAUUCAUUCCUUUGCUUGGAAUGGCAGACAUCCAACUUAUCUUGUCUUAAGCACAAAGGUUCUUAUAACUGCAAAAUAAGAAGGAGGGACACUCCUGCUUAAGGAACUGUUGGACCCAGAUGACUUUACUUCUCAGCUCUAAGUUGAUGUUCUUCUCAGGCAGAUGCUUCCAAGUGGUAGUUUCCGGCAGUGUUCAUUCACAUCCUCCCAGCUUCAAACUCAGCUGAAAAUGAACUAAUGUUUCCUAAGAAUUCUAAUAAAAAAAAAAUCCCAGAAUUGGGUCAUGUGCCCAUGUCUGGAAAGAGGUGGAUGUCUAACAGUGUAAGGCAGAGCAUGAUGGAGGGGUGGUUUCCCAGAAGAAGAUGAGGGAGGCUGGCGAUGUAGACUGCUAGAUGUGCACCAUUAUGCCUCACUCCAGAUUAGCUCUGGAUCUAGGGACACCAGGCCCAGGGUGGGGUGGUGAGCUAAGGGUGCUUGCCACUGGAAGCCCUCCUCUUGUCAAAACCCAACCCAGCAUGUCAGACAAGGUCCAACCAGUGAAGGGUGCCAAAGAGCCGCCUCCAUAUUCCAGGUCCUGUCCUUUAGCAAAAACCCAGGUCUGAAUUGCACAUGCCCUUCUCUAGCUUAGACACUCCUCCUGGACACUCAUGUAAUGCCCUCAAAUUCUCUGCAUAUGGAUUGUCAUUCAGGCAUUCUUUCCCACCCCUUUCUCAGC